This 254-nucleotide ribosomal RNA is filed under the name uncultured bacterium. Its description in RNAcentral is "partial 16S ribosomal RNA". It matches the Rfam family "Bacterial small subunit ribosomal RNA", at positions 524 to 776 of the family's 1533-position model. The record is from RNAcentral.
GACGAACCGUGCGAACGUUAUUCGGAAUCACUGGGCUUAAAGCGCGUGUAGGCGGAUGGGAACGUCGGUAGUUGAAAGCCCCCGGCUCAACUGGGGAGGGUCACGCGAUACUGUUCGACUCGAAGGCAGGAGAGGGUAGUGGAAUUCCCGGUGUAGUGGUGAAAUGCGUAGAUAUCGGGAGGAACACCAGUGGCGAAGGCGACUACCUGGCCUGUUCUUGACGCUGAGGCGCGAAAGCUAGGGUAGCAAACGGG